RNAcentral lists this ribosomal RNA (676 nucleotides) under uncultured Lactobacillus sp. RNAcentral's name for it is "bacterial SSU rRNA". It matches the Rfam family "Bacterial small subunit ribosomal RNA", at positions 8 to 642 of the family's 1533-position model. Lineage: Bacteria; Bacillati; Bacillota; Bacilli; Lactobacillales; Lactobacillaceae. The record is from RNAcentral.
AGAGUUUGUAUCCUGGCUCAGGAUGAACGCCGGCGGUGUGCCUAAUACAUGCAAGUCGAGCGCACUGGCCCAACUGAUAUGACGUGCUUGCACUGAAUUGACGUUGGAUUCCCAGUGAGCGGCGGACGGGUGAGUAACACGUGGGCAACCUGCCCUGAAGCGGGGGAUAACAUCUGGAAACAGGUGCUAAUACCGCAUAACAACGAAAACCGCAUGGUUUUCGUUUCAAAGAUGGCUUCGGCUAUCACUUCAGGAUGGGCCCGCGGUGCAUUAGCUAGUUGGUAAGGUAACGGCUUACCAAGGCGAUGAUGCAUAGCCGAGUUGAGAGACUGAUCGGCCACAAUGGAACUGAGACACGGUCCAUACUCCUACGGGAGGCAACAGUAGGGAAUCUUCCACAAUGGGCGCAAGCCUGAUGGAGCAACACCGCGUGAGUGAAGAAGGGUUUCGGCUCGUAAAGCUCUGUUGUUGGAGAAGAACGUGCGUGAGAGUAACUGUUCACGCAGUGACGGUAUCCAACCAGAAAGUCACGGCUAACUACGUGCCAGCAGCCGCGGUAAUACGUAGGUGGCAAGCGUUAUCCGGAUUUAUUGGGCGUAAAGCGAGCGCAGGCGGUUGUUUAGGUCUGAUGUGAAAGCCUUCGGCUUAACCGAAGAAGUGCAUCGGAAAAAUCACU